Solanum tuberosum (potato) is the source of this 2032-nucleotide long non-coding RNA. RefSeq lists it as uncharacterized. Lineage: Eukaryota; Viridiplantae; Streptophyta; Magnoliopsida; Solanales; Solanaceae. The transcript is spliced from 10 exons. The record is from RefSeq and is a predicted model, not a curated record.
AUAGUAAAUUUAACCUGACAAAUACACUCUCUCCAUAAUUCUAGAACACUCCAUCUUCCUCAUUAGCACGAAAUAGACACAAUAUUUUCAACACAAGAAUCAGUUCUUCGAUUUCUCUUCUUCCAUUUCGCUUUGGUUCUUCUGUCAGUUCUUUUUAUCUUUCCCGUCGUCUCUAUUUUUCUAUUUUUCAGCCUCCCCAUUCUCACUCUUGGUGUAGAUUAGGAAAAAUUAUCUACUUUGUCUCAAUUUCUUAGGUGUAGAUUAGGAAAAAUUCAAUGAGAAUACAGAAAAACUCUGUGAGCAAAAUUCUCGAAGAAUAAGUUGCAUACUUUUUUUUGAUGUGAUGAUGGGGCAAAGACAAACAAAGACGUGCUUUUAAGUUAUGAACACCAAAAAGCUCAAUUAUCUGAGCACCGGUGACGUAGAGAAGGAAGCAACAUGUGUUGAUCAAUCUGAAACCAUAGAAAAAAUUCAACCAUACAUGCCAUCAAAAGAGUUGUAAAAGUACUUGAAAUCGAGCUUCAUGAUGCAUCACGGGAUAAACAACUGCUUCAAUCACAACAGCUACCUAAAACAGCUAUACAUAGAGGCGUUGACUCUUGCAGCAUUCAGAAAAUACAUUGUCUUUGUCUGAAGUUGAGAGUCAUGACAAAAACGAAAGUGUUCUUCCAACUUCUGAUCCUUAGUUAGCCAAAUGAAAAUCAUAAGUUAAAUUUUCACGUAAUGUUGCUUCUGUGUAUAUAGGUAUACCUUCAUUCAUAAAUUGAUUUACUGUCAUUUAUAUAUUUCUCUACUAUCAUUUUGUAGGACAUGCUUCUGCGGCUACAAAAACAACUGCUUACACCUCUUAUCUUUGGAUUAGAGGUGUUUCUUUGUUGGUGGAGGCUGUAUCGAUGGGUGAUGCAGAAGCUCUAUUUGAAUUAGAUUGUCGUUUAAGAGUUGAGGUGUGAUUUUCUUUAUGUAGUUUUUUUCAAGAAUGACUAUCCUAUACCACCUACCAUUCAUGCAUUUAAUUAAUCUCUCUUUUUCGAAGUUCUGUAGCAUUUCUAGCUACUUGUUUAAUUUGCUUGGUAAAAGAUAUGACUGGUCCACUGGAGUUUAUAUUGCACAAUCAGUGUUCCAUCACUUCUGAAUUCAUAUGGGUUCAUUAUACUCUGUUAUAAUUACAAAAGUUAAGAUUGAGCCAGUUGUGGCCGGUCUUAGAGGUAAAAGAUAAACAAGGAGGAGCUCUUUCUACACUCUGUUUGUUUAUUAUUUAACCCUGAAAAUCAACUCAAUAGCAUUGGAAAAGAGGUCCAGAGUCCUGUACUUGCUACUUCUGUAGCAAUUAUCUGGUCUAUAACAUAGGUAUGAGUGUGUGUUGCAAUUGCUAGAACAUUGUUGGUCUUUCUUUUCCAUUAUUGGAAAAAUAAUAUUGUACGUGCGAAUCACAGUAAGUUUAGAAUAGUUAUCCAUUUAAGCAUUGAAGCAGUUGCCAGUGAUUUCAAUGGUAGCCGUGCUCUCUCAAGUCUAGAUGUAGAAGGUUGCAGGGAAGAAAGAAUGCUUAGGUUGGGUAGCUUGCCAAAAUUACUUCAACAAACAAAAGACGAUAUCCUGAUAAAGAGCCUAACAAUCGCAUAGGUGAAUGUUUCUUGGAAGUGGAAUAUGUGCAAGAUGAAUCACUUGGUACGAUUUUUAAUGUUCAUAAAAGCACGAAUGAGGAAUCGACAUCAUACUCAUUUGCUACUCCAGAAAAUCAUGACAUCUUAGAUGGACCAUUAUCAAAUCACCACUGUAGCCACUAAGGUAAUGGGCAAGCAACUAUUUGAAAAAUACAAAGCAACGAAAUAUUUCUGGCAAUGGACAAUAUUUGCAAUACCGCUAUGUGAUUUAUGUGUCCAUGGUGCAAAGUACGAACAGUGGUAGAAAUACAUUUUGUUGUUUAGACUCUACACAUUUGUGAAUGCAAUAUUAGACACAAAAAUGACAUCAAAAUUCACGUUGUUGGGCCCGUGCAUAGCACAGGCAAUACUUAUCUAGUAAUAGAAAUAAA